GACGAACGCUGGCGGCGUGCUUAACACAUGCAAGUCGAACGGGAAGUCCCUGCUUUUGUGUUCUGCUCGAAUGGCGAACGGGUGAGUAACGCGUGAUUAACCUGCCCUUGACUUUGUGAUAACUUCAGGAAACUAGGACUUAUACACGAAUGGUACUCCUUCUUCAUACUUGGGUUUGGAAAGCUUCGGGGGUUGGGGAUUGACCGGCGGCUUAUCAGCUUGUUGGUGGGGUAGUGGAUUACCAAGUCUCUGACGGGUAGCCGGCCUGAGAGGGUGACCGGCCACAUUGGGACUGAGUGACGGACGAGACUACUACGGGAGGCAGGAGGGGGGAAUGAAGAACGAUGGGCGGAAGAAUGAUGCAGCCACGAAGGGUGCGGGAUGAAGGACUUCGGGUGGGAAGCCGAUUUCGCCUGUGACGAAGCGUGAGUGACGGUAAUGGGUAAAGAAGCACCGGCUAACUACGUG
RNAcentral lists this ribosomal RNA (468 nucleotides) under uncultured bacterium. RNAcentral describes it as "partial 16S ribosomal RNA". It matches the Rfam family "Bacterial small subunit ribosomal RNA", at positions 28 to 507 of the family's 1533-position model. The record is from RNAcentral.